RNAcentral lists this ribosomal RNA (492 nucleotides) under uncultured bacterium. RNAcentral describes it as "partial 16S ribosomal RNA". It matches the Rfam family "Bacterial small subunit ribosomal RNA", at positions 29 to 507 of the family's 1533-position model. The record is from RNAcentral.
AGUGAACGCUGGCGGUAGGCCUAACACAUGCAAGUCGAACGGCAGCACAGUAAAAGCUGGCUCUUACGGGUGGCGAGUGGCGGACGGGGGGGGAAUACAUCGGAAUCUACUUUUUCGGGGGGGUUAAGGAAGGGAAACUAACGCAAAUACGGCUUCGGACCACCGGUGGAAACAAGGGAUUCUUCGACCCUGGCGGGAUUGAAUGGGCCGAUGUCGGAUUAGCAAGUUGGCGGGGUAAAGGCCAACCAAGGCGACGAUCCGUAGCUGGUCUGAGAGGAUGAUCAGCCACACUGGAACUGAGACACGGUCCAGACUCCUACGGGAGGCAGCAGUGGGGAAUAUUGGACAAUGGGCGCAAGCCUGAUCCAGCCAUACCGCGUGGGUGAAGAAGGCCUUCGGGUUGUAAAGCCCUUUUGUUGGGAAAGAAAAGCAGCAGGUUAAUACCCCGCUGUUCUGACGGUACCCAAAGAAUAAGCACCGGCUAACUUCGUG